This is a long non-coding RNA of Cebus imitator (Panamanian white-faced capuchin), 2043 nucleotides long. RefSeq lists it as uncharacterized. The transcript is spliced from 3 exons. The record is from RefSeq and is a predicted model, not a curated record. NCBI's taxonomy places the organism in Eukaryota, Metazoa, Chordata, Mammalia, Primates, Cebidae.
GCGCCACCGCGCCUGCGGCUGAACGGUAGCCACAGCAGCGGCGGCAGUAGCAGCAGCGGCAGCGGUCUCUUCCCGAACGUCGGCCCCACAGGUGCCCGAAAGCCGGCACAGGCGUGUAGAGAACAUGGCAGACGACGUUGAUACUGAAGCAAUGCUUGAGGCUCCUUACAAAAAGGGUACACUUGAUCCUCUCUGAAGACCCUCAAAGCAAAAUGAUUUUGCAUUCCAUUCCCUGGAUUUGAGCCCCAGCCAAGAGUGGCUCUACCAUGCUUCCAGAUGAGAACCAGAGUCAGACUUUAUCACUCACUCAUUUACCCAUCCAGCUGAUGUCUACUAAGUGCCGCUGUGCGCCUAAUGUGGGAACAGCUACAGAAAUUCCUUGGAGAAGCAGAAGACAGCACUUGAUAACCGGGUUUAUCAGACUGCUGAAGGUCUGCAGCUGGGAGACAAACACACUGUGGCUGGUGGGCUGAAUGACUGACAUCUCUCUUCUCCCACCUAGGUCCAAGUUCUGUUCCAGUUGGGCUCCACAUGCACUUUGCACUGCCUGGAACCGUGUCUGGCACACAGCAGACAAAAUAAUGCACAAACACGGCAAGCCUAGAGAAGAACAUUGUUUUCACAUUCAUACAGACAUGGCUAUCCCAUGGAGGGUAAGUGCAAUUUCACAUGAAUUUUUAAGAUGAACCUUCAGGGCAAAUUGCCUCAGUGGGUAUGUUUGUAGAACAUGGUCACUCUUCUGGGAGAGCUUAUGGGACACCAGCACCAGACCAAACCAGUAAAGAAAAAGUGGCUCCACUCCACCCCCAUUAUCUCACUGCUGGGCACCCCUCUGGCCAGCCCAUCUGCUUCCUAUGGGGAUGUUGGGAACUGUGGAGGCCAGAACCAGAUUGGGCGUCCAGGCACACAUGACCCCACCAGCAGUCCUGCCCUGACCCUCUCGGUUGAGCUGGGAAAGAUUGGAAUUUCCUGAAGGUUUUCUAGAGAAGUGAAAUUAAGAAGAGAGAGAACAGCUGGCCCCAGAACCCUAACCAGUACAGGAACUAUCUUUAGCCUGGAGAGACCUGGUUGGGGCAGAUGACAUCUCGUGAGACAAAAGUCAGCUCUGAGCUUGCAGAGCAUGAGGGAGGCUGUUGGGGGGACAGGGAAGAAAUGUGUUGUUUUUGCCACUGAAAGGAAUGGAGAGAAAUCUGGGGAUGAUGGGGAGAGGGAACCAAAGAGAUGGGAAGGUCAGGAUGAAAUGAAAUCUAGCCUGGAAGGGUCACCAAAGAACGUUUCCUGAAAGGCGAUGUCUGUGUUCUGGAUGCAUUUCUACAAAGAAAUCCCUCCUCUGUCUCUUGGUCACUCCCUCCUCAUCACCUACCCCUAAACCUCCAAAAAAGUCUGAACUCACCGUGAUUCCAGUGUACAUAGAAAUCAAGCAAGAGGCUUAAUUUUACAGCUGGAUCAAGCAUGCCCAAGAGACAGACAAGCAGAAAGAAUCCUCAGAGAGAAGACAUCAAAGCGUGUUUGAAAGACAAACACAACCUCCUCCACCAGCACUUCCUUCUUUGCCUGGAGGCUUGCAGACAUCUUAGGGACAGCUUUAAGCCACCAGGCACCAUGAAAACAAAAGGGUUUUGUCUAUUUUAACCUAGAUCUAAAAGAAGGAAAGGCCACAGAUGGAAACCCAAAGCCCAAGCAUGAAAAGAGAAAAGGAUAAAAGGGAUAAACGAAUAGAGCACAGUUAUUUUUGUAUUAAUUAACUUAGGGCUGUCUUAGACACACAGACCCUGCUUCCUUUCCUGUCCCGGUCUUGAGCUAAUGCGCUGAUUCAUCACAAAGGCUUGGGCAAAGCUCGGUCUCCACCCUUGGCUCCAGACCUGCAUCUGGCCCAGUGCCAUAGCCACUCUGACGGCAGGUCCAGCCAAGCUCCCACCCCGCCUCCCUAUGCCAGCUCCCCUCUGUUGGCAGCAGUCUCCAUUCUCUGACAGGCUCAUCCCCCUGCAACCCCAACCCCAGCUGACCUUCCAGGAAGCUCCAGUUCCAGUUCUUCUUUUUUUU